RNAcentral lists this ribosomal RNA (454 nucleotides) under uncultured bacterium. RNAcentral describes it as "bacterial SSU rRNA". It matches the Rfam family "Bacterial small subunit ribosomal RNA", at positions 340 to 785 of the family's 1533-position model. The record is from RNAcentral.
UACGGAAGGCAGCAGUGGGGAAUAUUGCACAAUGGGCGAAAGCCUGAUGCAGCUAUGCCGCGUGUAUGAAGAAGGCCUUAGGGUUGUAAAGUACUUUCAUCGGGGAGGAAAAAACAAAACUAAUAAUUUUAUUUCUUGACGUUACCCGAAAAAGAAGCACCGGCUAACUCCGUGCCAGCAGCCGCGGUAAUACGGAGGGUGCUAGCGUUAAUCAGAAUUACUGGGCGUAAAGAGCACGUAGGUGGUUUUUUAAGUCAGAUGUGAAAUCCCUGGGCUUAACCUAGGAACUGCAUUUUGAAACUGAAAUACUAGAGUAUCGUAGAGGGAGGUAGAAUUCUAGGUGUAGCGGUGAAAUGCGUAGAUAUCUGGAGGAAUACCUGUGGCGAAAGCGGCCUCCUAAACGAAUACUGACACUGAGGUGCGAAAGCGUGGGGAGCAAACAGGGAUUAGAUAC